This 28-nucleotide small RNA is filed under the name Bombyx mori (domestic silkworm). RNAcentral's name for it is "ovarian small RNA-818". The record is from RNAcentral. Lineage: Eukaryota; Metazoa; Arthropoda; Insecta; Lepidoptera; Bombycidae.
UAACUGGAGGGCUUUCUCCUGUCCUUGC